RNAcentral lists this long non-coding RNA (529 nucleotides) under Stegodyphus dumicola. Its description in RNAcentral is "uncharacterized LOC118190279, transcript variant X1". The record is from RNAcentral. Lineage: Eukaryota; Metazoa; Arthropoda; Arachnida; Araneae; Eresidae.
CCUGCUUAUCAGUGUAAACUUUGGAUCCAAACAGAUAAAGAAAUCACUAUCAAGUGCAUCAGCCAGUUCUAAAUAACAGAAUAGCCCCAUGUAUUGACCAGUACACUGAUAUCAUAGCAUCUGAGGAAUUAAACAGGGAUCUGAGGGAUGUUCUUUGCUCUGGUGCACUUGAUGAUCCACUUAUCACAGCUGUGCUAAAAAGACUGUUUGUUGAACCUAGGAAAUUACAACAGGCAUUUGUUGAACCUAUAAAUUGACAAGAAGAACAAGGAAACACAAUAAUACUGACUCUACUAUCAUCCUAAACCUUGCCUUGGCUGAGAUUUGGCUGGAAGGAUAUUCACUCUGUGCAGGGGAUAAUACCAUAUAGCUUCAGCAGUGAGUAAAAAUGGUAGUAGUUAUUUCCUACUUAGAUAACAAAACUAAGAGGUGAACUAACUGUCUACAUAAUUCUUUGGAAAUUUACAAUUAAAGAGAAGAAAUCAAACCAUUCUGUUUAUAACCAUAAAAUAAAGAAAGUAUUAAUUUA